UUUUGCAGCUUUCAGAGCCCAGCAGCAACGCUUGCCAGUUUUCAGUUUAUUCGGCUCCCUCUACGUGUUGUGCUGCAAUGGAAGUAGGAUGUUGAGCUUUGUCAGUAGAGGGCGCUGGAGGGACCUUGCAGCGGGAGAGGCUGCUUUUCUCAGUUCUGGUGUUGCUUUGCCCCUGCAGUGCAGUCCCCCAGUAAUGCCAAGGAGAGCAGGAAGUCACCUCGCAAUCCUGGCCUGGGCCACCCAGGGGACUUCACCACCACCAUUACUACUUUUGCCCCCUUGUGAAAAAUCAGUUUGUCGUAGUUGUCCACGUCCGUUUCUGUACUUUUUAUUCUGUUCUGUUGGUCUGUGUGUCUAUCUCUUCUUCAGUAUGACACACUGUCUUGACUACUGUAGCAUUAUAGUAAAUCUUAAAUCAGGUAGUGUGAUUCCCCCAACUCUGUUCUUUUUCAGAUUCAUUUUGGUGAUUCCAGUUCCUUUGCCUUUCCAUAUAAAUUUUAGAACCGGCUUAUUUAUGUAUCUAUAAGAAAUCCUACUGGGAUUUGUGAUUUGGGAUUGCAGUAAAUCUAUAGAUAAUUUGGAGAGAACUGGGCAUCAUUUCUGUGUUGAGUAUUCCAUUCCAUGUACAUGAUGUGUCUCUCCAUUUAUUUAGGUUGUCUUUGAGUUCUUUCUUCAGCAUUUUGUAGUUCUCAGUAUACAGAUCCUGUAUGUUUUAUUUGAUUUGUACCUAAUAUUUAAUUAUUUUUUGCACCCAUUGUUGUAAAUCAUUUAAACAUUUUUCAUUUCCAGUUCAAAUUGCUAGCAUAUAGAAAUUCAGUUGGUUUUGUGUGAAUUUGUGUCCUGUGACCCUGCUAAACUCACUUUUUUAGUCUAGGAGUUUUUGUUUUUUGUUGAAGUCUAUGAAAUUUUCUAUGUAGACAAAGAUGUCUAUGAUUGGAGACAGUUUGACCUCUUCCUUGUGAAUCAGGAUGCCUCCUAAUUCUUUUUCUUGUCUUGUUGUGCUGACUCUGAAUUCACUUCUGGUACGAUAUUUAAUAGGAGUGGAGAUGGCGGACAGCUUUGCCUUGUUCCCUGCAUUCGUUCUUUCACCAUUAUGUACAGUGUUACCUGCAGGGUUUUUUUGUAGAUGUUCUUUAUCAAGUUGAGGAAGUUCCCCUCUAUUGCUCUUUCUCUGAGAGUUUUAUCAUGAAUUUGCGUUGAAUUUUGUCAGAUGUUUCUUGAGUCCUGCCUUGAGGUUAGGCCAGGCGAUACUGCAGGAAAAGCAGGAAACACACCACCAGUUUGGUGGUGCUUUGAAUUCUGGUCUUCUCCAAUCUGCACGUCGCUGUUUUUAUGUAAGAGCCUUCAAAUAGCUAGUCCAUGUAUUCUCUCAGUUUAAUAGCAGGAUUUUGUGGGAUAAACAGGGUGGAGUAAAUGAACCAGAGCCUUCUUUUAGAUACAAAUGUUGAUACUCAACUAUGUGGUUGCUGUAAGUAAUUUGUUCUUUUUAGUACUAAGUAAUAUUCUAUUGUGUAAAUAUGAUACAAUUUGUUUAUCCAUUCAUGUGUUGAUAGACUUUUGUGUAUUUCCAGUUAUAGACUCAUAAAUAAAGGUACUAUGGCUUGAUUACUUGUGAAGUUGAACUUUUUCCUUUUCGUGGACACUUUCCUCUGAAUUGCCCUUACCCAUUUUUAAAGUGAACUUUCUUUCUUACUGAUCUCUAUAAGAAGUUCACUUUUUUGAGUAUCAAUGUUUUGUUUAUGAUACACAUCACAAGUAUUUUCUCUAGUCUGUUUGGGUGACUGGUGGUGCCAUUAGCUAAGAUAGGGCCUAGAGGAAGAGCAACAAUGCAGGAGGAGACUCUAGCAAGGUGAAGACUUUUAGUUUCAGAUAUUUUGAGAUUGCCAAAAAUUUGGUAGAGAGAAGUGAUAUUGAUAGGGCAUUGAUUGAUUGGCUAUAGUCAUUCUCUUCAUUCCUAGGAUGAUAUUAAUCCAUCAUCAAAAAACUACAUGCUUGAAUCAGAUUUACACUGAGUUUUAGUGUUUGUGCCUGCUGUUUUUAUCAAGGGAAAUAGGUAUAUGCUGUAGGUGUCUUUGGAUGUGGUUCUCUUAAUAUCCCUUUAUAUGAACUUGCUCAUGAGAAAUCUCUGUGGGGCCAGAUGCUAGAUUUCUUCCUGUUAAGCAACAGUAAUAACUGCCUGAAUGCUUUGCUCUGUUCACAUUGUCAGGAAACUGACACUCAUGGGCACAUUGUCAGAGUCAUUCUCUGGAAACAUUUGUAUUGGCUGUAAGGUCCAUCUCUUCACCCUACAUCUUGACCCCCCACCUUGAUUUUCAUCUUAUAUAACUCUUUGUAAAAGGGUUGUAAGAGUAUAAAUAAUUUAAAAGAAUUGCCAGUAGUUAUUUCUAGUGCCAGGCAUAUGGCUUCGCAUAUAGGGGGGAUGCUGAGUAGAUGUCAUCAUGAUACAAAGAAUCAAAUGGCAGAUGUCUCCAAAAAUGGAAAGUCAGAGGGUUUCGAGAGUCUACUUCAGGAUUUAUCCUGACUAAAAGAAAUAACAAAUCUGUUUCUCAUUUCUUGUUGUCAUUAUUGUUGAUACUGUAGCUUGCAAACCAUACUGGGUACAUCAAAGUUGACUGGCAACGAGUGGAGAAGGACAUGAAGAAAGCCAAAGAGCAGCUGAAGAUCCGUAAGAGCAAUCAGAUACCUACUGAGGUCAGGAGCAAAGCUGAGGAGGUGGUGUCAUUUGUGAAGAAGAAUGUUCUAGUGACUGGGGGAUUUUUCGGAGGCUUUCUGCUUGGCAUGGCAUCCUAAGGAAGAUGACCUCAUGUUCAUUGUUCCUGUUUUUUUCCAGCCAGCAGCCUCUACACUCCAUCAUAGGACAUCGAGUCCCUCCUCCUCUUCUCCCAUGCCUUCCUCCCUGCCAUGGCAAAUCCGAGUGGCUUCUAUAAGCAUCUGCUGGUACAAGUCAAUGUGGCACCAUGAGCUUGAUGGUGGCAGAAGAGACAAUAGUCCUUAGCUCUCCUCCCAGUACACCCCCUACUUGGCCAGUCUGUAGGCCAACAAGAAGGUUCCUUUACCCCCAUGCAAGACACUUAUGAGAACACAUUACAAGAUGGCUGACCGUGGAGGAUGAGUGGAUCCUGAAAGCUUGUCCCAAACUGUUGAUUUGGAAAAGAAAUAAGCACAUAGAUAACCUUAUUGUGUGCUGCAUGGAAAGGAACUGAAUACAUUUGCCUUUAAGCAUGAAAGAUUUUGGUAUCUUGGUGUCUACUUUCUUUUUUAGUUGGUUUUACAUUACAGAAAGCUAUUUAAAUGUGUUAUAAUUAUGCCGACAAAAUUGGCAGCAUAAUUACUAUAAUUGAAAAAUCUGAUAUUGUCCAGGAAUGCUUUCUACCGUACAGGAUAAUGUAUCUCAUGGCUGUUUCCAAAGGGUUUAUUUAUUGUAAAACAAGUGAUUUAGGUGGGAAAGGGAAGAUUUUGGAUUUUUAUUUUGUAGAAAAGGUUUUAAGCUUUGAAAUGUGAAUGAAAUAUCCUUAUGAAAACAUUAGGGGUGGCCAUAACUCCUCUGUGCCACUUCUACUAUUUUUUUUUUAUCUAGUUAGUAUGAAAUACAACAUUUAAACCGGAAUUUUAAAGAAGUAGCUUUCCAGGGAUUCAGAAUUAAGAAAGAUAGUGAUAGGACAUGAGAAAUAAAUUUCCAUCAAGUGU
RNAcentral lists this small RNA (3687 nucleotides) under Pan troglodytes (chimpanzee). RNAcentral describes it as "retained intron". Lineage: Eukaryota; Metazoa; Chordata; Mammalia; Primates; Hominidae. The record is from RNAcentral.